GGUCUUGUAACUCAGUUGGUUAGAGUGUUGGUCUUAUGAGCCGAAAGUCGUGGGUUCAAGCCCCACCAAGACCA
This is a transfer RNA of Ipomoea nil (Japanese morning glory), 74 nucleotides long. It matches the Rfam family "tRNA". From Rfam's summary of the family: Transfer RNA (tRNA) molecules are approximately 80 nucleotides in length. NCBI's taxonomy places the organism in Eukaryota, Viridiplantae, Streptophyta, Magnoliopsida, Solanales, Convolvulaceae. The record is from Rfam.